This 492-nucleotide ribosomal RNA is filed under the name uncultured bacterium. RNAcentral's name for it is "partial 16S ribosomal RNA". It matches the Rfam family "Bacterial small subunit ribosomal RNA", at positions 29 to 507 of the family's 1533-position model. The record is from RNAcentral.
AGUGAACGCUGGCGGUAGGCCUAACACAUGCAAGUCGAACGGCAGCACAGUAAGAGCUUGCUCUUACGGGUGGCGAGUGGCGGACGGGUGAGGAAUACAUCGGAAUCUACUUUUUCGUGGGGGAUAACGUAGGGAAACUUACGCUAAUACCGCAUACGACCUACGGGUGAAAGCAGGGGAUCUUCGGACCUUGCGCGAUUGAAUGAGCCGAUGUCGGAUUAGCUAGUUGGCGGGGUAAAGGCCCACCAAGGCGACGAUCCGUAGCUGGUCUGAGAGGAUGAACAGCCACACUGGAACUGAGACACGGUCCAGACUCCUACGGGAGGCAGCAGUUGGGAAUAUUGGACAAUGGGCGGAAGCCUGAUCCAGCCAUACCGCGUGGGUGAAGAAGGCCUUCGGGUUGUGAAGCCCUUUUGUUGGGAAAGAAAAGCAGCAGGUUAAUACCCCGCUGUUCUGACGGUACCCAAAGAAUAAGCACCGGCUAACUUCGUG